This 468-nucleotide ribosomal RNA is filed under the name uncultured bacterium. RNAcentral's name for it is "partial 16S ribosomal RNA". It matches the Rfam family "Bacterial small subunit ribosomal RNA", at positions 28 to 507 of the family's 1533-position model. The record is from RNAcentral.
GACGAACGCUGGCGGCGUGCUUAACACAUGCAAGUCGAACGGAAAGGCCCUGCUUUUGUGGGGUGCUCGAGUGGCGAACGGGUGAGUAACACGUGAGUAACCUGCCCUUGACUUUGGGAUAACUUCAGGAAACUGGGGCUAAUACCGGAUAGGAGCUCCUGCUGCAUGGUGGGGGUUGGAAAGUUUCGGCGGUUGGGGAUGGACUCGCGGCUUAUCGGCUUGUUGGUGGGGUAGUGGCUUACCAAGGCUUUGACGGGUAGCCGGCCUGGGAGGGUGGCCGGCCACAUUGGGACUGAGAUACGGCCCAGACUCCUACGGGAGGCAGCAGGGGGGAAUAUUGCACAAUGGGCGGGAGCCUGAUGCGGCAACGCCGCGUGCGGGAUGACGGCCUUCGGGUUGUAAACCGCUUUCGCCUGUGACGAAGCGUGAGUGACGGUAAUGGGUAAAGAAGCACCGGCUAACUACGUG